UGACAGAAGCCAAAAAGAGGCAUAUCACUGUUAAUGGUAGAAUUGAAAAUUUUUCCUGUCAA
Molecule: transfer RNA, 62 nt
Filed under: Dardanus aspersus
Lineage: Eukaryota; Metazoa; Arthropoda; Malacostraca; Decapoda; Diogenidae
Description: tRNA-Asn
Source: RNAcentral